AACGAACGCUGGCGGCAUGCCUAACACAUGCAAGUCGAACGAUGCUUUCGGGCAUAGUGACGCACGGGUGCGUAACGCGUGGGAAUCUGCCCUUUGGUUCGGAAUAACAGUUGGAAACGACUGCUAAUACCGGAUGAUGACGUAAGUCCAAAGAUUUAUCGCCAGAGGAUGAGCCCGCGUGAGAUUAGGUAGUUGGUGGGGUAAAGGCCUACCAAGCCGACGAUCUCUAGCUGGUCUGAGAGGAUGAUCAGCCACACUGGGACUGAGACACGGCCCAGACUCCUACGGGAGGCAGCAGUGGGGAAUAUUGGACAAUGGGCGAAAGCCUGAUCCAGCAAUGCCGCGUGAGUGAUGAAGGCCUUAGGGUUGUAAAGCUCUUUUACCCGGGAUGAUAAUGACAGUACCGGGAGAAUAAGCCCCGGCUAACUCCGUGCCAGCCGCCGCGGUAA
This 449-nucleotide ribosomal RNA is filed under the name uncultured bacterium. RNAcentral's name for it is "partial 16S ribosomal RNA". It matches the Rfam family "Bacterial small subunit ribosomal RNA", at positions 29 to 523 of the family's 1533-position model. The record is from RNAcentral.